AACGAACGCUGGCGGCAUGCCUAACACAUGCAAGUCGAACGGAUCCUUCGGGAUUAGUGGCGGACGGGUGAGUAACACGUGGGAACGUGCCCUUUGGUUCGGAACAACUCAGGGAAACGGGAGCUAAUACCGGAUGUGCCCUUCGGGGGAAAGAUUUAUCGCCAUUGGAGGGGCCCGCGUUUGAUUAGCUAGUUGGUGGGGUAAAGGCCCACCAAGGCGACGAUCAGUAGCUGGUCUGAGAGGAUGAUCAGCCACACUGGGACUGAGACACGGCCCAGACUCCUACGGGAGGCAGCAGGGGGGAAUAUUGGACAAUGGGCGAAAGCCUGAGCCAGCCAUGCCGCGUGAAUGAUGAAGGCCUUAGGGUUGUAAAACUCUUUUACGCGGGAGGAUAAUGACAGUACCCGGAAAAAAAGCCCCGGCUAACUCCGUG
This 433-nucleotide ribosomal RNA is filed under the name uncultured bacterium. RNAcentral describes it as "partial 16S ribosomal RNA". It matches the Rfam family "Bacterial small subunit ribosomal RNA", at positions 29 to 507 of the family's 1533-position model. The record is from RNAcentral.